This is a non-coding RNA of Nicotiana attenuata, 72 nucleotides long. NCBI's taxonomy places the organism in Eukaryota, Viridiplantae, Streptophyta, Magnoliopsida, Solanales, Solanaceae. The record is from Rfam.
GCGCCGUAGCUCAGUGGAUAGAGCUCCUGUUUCCUAAGCUGAAGGUCGUAGGUUCGACUCCUACCUGGCGCG